AGAGUUUGAUCAUGGCUCAGGACGAACGCUGGCGGCGUGCUUAACACAUGCAAGUCGAGCGGAAAGGCCCUUCGGGGUACUCGAGCGGCGAACGGGUGAGUAACACGUGAGCAACCUGCCUCAGCUCUGGGAUAGCUCCGGGAAACCGGAAUUAAUACCGGAUAUGACCACGAUCGACAUCGGCCGUGGUGGAAAGGAUU
RNAcentral lists this ribosomal RNA (200 nucleotides) under uncultured bacterium. RNAcentral describes it as "partial 16S ribosomal RNA". It matches the Rfam family "Bacterial small subunit ribosomal RNA", at positions 8 to 211 of the family's 1533-position model. The record is from RNAcentral.